Molecule: ribosomal RNA, 253 nt
Filed under: uncultured bacterium
Lineage: Bacteria
Description: partial 16S ribosomal RNA
Rfam family: Bacterial small subunit ribosomal RNA
Source: RNAcentral
UACGAAGGGGGCUAGCGUUGCUCGGAAUCACUGGGCGUAAAGCGCACGUAGGCGGCUUUCUAAGUCAGGGGUGAAAUCCUGGAGCUCAACUCCAGAACUGCCUUUGAUACUGGAGAGCUUGAGUCCGGAAGAGGUGAGUGGAACUCCGAGUGUAGAGGUGAAAUUCGUAGAUAUUCGGAAGAACACCAGUGGCGAAGGCGGCUAUCUGGACGACAACUGACGCUGAGGCGCGAAAGCGUGGGGAUCAAACAGG